GUUGGGUAGGGGAGCGUUCUGUAAGCCUGCGAAGGUGUACUGUGAGGUAUGCUGGAGGUAUCAGAAGUGCGAAUGCUGACAUAAGUAACGAUAAUGCGGGUGAAAAACCCGCACGCCGGAAGACCAAGGGUUCCUGUCCAACGUUAAUCGGGGCAGGGUGAGUCGACCCCUAAGGCGAGGCUGAAAAGCGUAGUCGAUGGGAAACGGGUUAAUAUUCCCGUACUGGUGGUAACUGCGAUGGGGGAACGGAGAAGGCUAGGUUGUCCGGGCGACGGUCGUCCCGGUUCAAGCAGGUAGGCAGAGUGAUUAGGCAAAUCCGGUCACUUAAUGCUGAGAUGUGAUGACGAACCACUAAGGUGGUGAAGCAAUUGAUGCCCCGCUUCCAGGAAAAGCCUCUAAGCUUCAGGUUACCAACAAUCGUACCCCAAACCGACACAGGUGGUCAGGUAGAGAAUACUCAGGCGCUUGAGAGAACUCGGGUGAAGGAACUAGGCAAAAUGGUGCCGUAACUUCGGGAGAAGGCACGCUGGCGGUAGGUAAAGUCCCUCGCGGACGGCGCUGAAGCCAGUCGAAGAUACCAGCUGGCUGCAACUGUUUAUUAAAAACACAGCACUGUGCAAACACGAAAGUGGACGUAUACGGUGUGACGCCUGCCCGGUGCUGGAAGGUUAAUUGAUGGGGUCAGCCGUAAGGCGAAGCUCCUGAUCGAAGCCCCAGUAAACGGCGGCCGUAACUAUAACGGUCCUAAGGUAGCGAAAUUCCUUGUCGGGUAAGUUCCGACCUGCACGAAUGGCGUAAUGAUGGCCAGGCUGUCUCCACCCGAGACUCAGUGAAAUUGAACUCGCUGUGAAGAUGCAGUGUACCCGCGGCAAGACGGAAAGACCCCGUGAACCUUUACUAUAGCUUGACACUGAACAUUGAGCCUUGAUGUGUAGGAUAGGUGGGAGGCUUUGAAGUGUGGACGCCAGUCUGCAUGGAGCCAACCUUGAAAUACCACCCUUUAACGUUUGAUGUUCUAACCUAGGCCCAUAAACUGGGUCGGGGACCGUGUCUGGUGGGUAGUUUGACUGGGGCGGUCUCCUCCUAAAGAGUAACGGAGGAGCACGAAGGUUGGCUAAGCAUGGUCGGACAUCAUGCGGUUAGUGCAAAGGCAUAAGCCAGCUUGACUGCGAGAGUGACGGCUCGAGCAGGUACGAAAGUAGGUCUUAGUGAUCCGGUGGUUCUGAAUGGAAGGGCCAUCGCUCAACGGAUAAAAGGUACUCCGGGGAUAACAGGCUGAUACCGCCCAAGAGUUCAUAUCGACGGCGGUGUUUGGCACCUCGAUGUCGGCUCAUCACAUCCUGGGGCUGAAGUAGGUCCCAAGGGUAUGGCUGUUCGCCAUUUAAAGUGGUACGCGAGCUGGGUUUAGAACGUCGUGAGACAGUUCGGUCCCUAUCUGCCGUGGGCGUUGGAAGAUUGAGAGGGGUUGCUCCUAGUACGAGAGGACCGGAGUGAACGCACCACUGGUGUUCGGGUUGUCAUGCCAAUGGCAUUGCCCGGUAGCUAAGUGCGGAAGAGAUAACCGCUGAAAGCAUCUAAGCGGGAAACUUGCCUCGAGAUGAGUCUUCCCUGUCGCUUUAAGCGACCUAAAGGAACGUUUAAGACUAAGACGUUGAUAGGCUGGGUGUGUAAGCGUAGCGAUACGUUGAGCUAACCAGUACUAAUGAACCGUGAGGCUUAACCUGACAACACCGAA
Molecule: ribosomal RNA, 1735 nt
Filed under: Proteus mirabilis
Lineage: Bacteria; Pseudomonadati; Pseudomonadota; Gammaproteobacteria; Enterobacterales; Morganellaceae
Description: partial 23S ribosomal RNA
Rfam family: Bacterial large subunit ribosomal RNA
Source: RNAcentral